This 132-nucleotide non-coding RNA is filed under the name unclassified sequences. RNAcentral's name for it is "Bacteriophage Diversity-Generating Retroelement RNA". It matches the Rfam family "Bacteriophage Diversity-Generating Retroelement RNA". The record is from Rfam by way of RNAcentral.
GCUCUGCACUUUCCAAAUGGCGGUGCAGGCCGAUCACUAUUUAGGGUGGUCAGCUUGGUUGUCCUGCUUCGGCGAACACACAUCUGGGUUUGGUAGAACGCAGAGUACCCACGAGCGAAAUGCGGAGCCAAC